RNAcentral lists this ribosomal RNA (890 nucleotides) under Escherichia coli. RNAcentral's name for it is "partial 23S ribosomal RNA". It matches the Rfam family "Bacterial large subunit ribosomal RNA", at positions 342 to 1237 of the family's 2925-position model. The record is from RNAcentral. Lineage: Bacteria; Pseudomonadati; Pseudomonadota; Gammaproteobacteria; Enterobacterales; Enterobacteriaceae.
CUGGAAAGGCGCGCGAUACAGGGUGACAGCCCCGUACACAAAAAUGCACAUGCUGUGAGCUCGAUGAGUAGGGCGGGACACGUGGUAUCCUGUCUGAAUAUGGGGGGACCAUCCUCCAAGGCUAAAUACUCCUGACUGACCGAUAGUGAACCAGUACCGUGAGGGAAAGGCGAAAAGAACCCCGGCGAGGGGAGUGAAAAAGAACCUGAAACCGUGUACGUACAAGCAGUGGGAGCCUCUUAAUGGGGUGACUGCGUACCUUUUGUAUAAUGGGUCAGCGACUUAUAUUCUGUAGCAAGGUUAACCGAAUAGGGGAGCCGAAGGGAAACCGAGUCUUAACUGGGCGUUAAGUUGCAGGGUAUAGACCCGAAACCCGGUGAUCUAGCCAUGGGCAGGUUGAAGGUUGGGUAACACUAACUGGAGGACCGAACCGACUAAUGUUGAAAAAUUAGCGGAUGACUUGUGGCUGGGGGUGAAAGGCCAAUCAAACCGGGAGAUAGCUGGUUCUCCCCGAAAGCUAUUUAGGUAGCGCCUCGUGAAUUCAUCUCCGGGGGUAGAGCACUGUUUCGGCAAGGGGGUCAUCCCGACUUACCAACCCGAUGCAAACUGCGAAUACCGGAGAAUGUUAUCACGGGAGACACACGGCGGGUGCUAACGUCCGUCGUGAAGAGGGAAACAACCCAGACCGCCAGCUAAGGUCCCAAAGUCAUGGUUAAGUGGGAAACGAUGUGGGAAGGCCCAGACAGCCAGGAUGUUGGCUUAGAAGCAGCCAUCAUUUAAAGAAAGCGUAAUAGCUCACUGGUCGAGUCGGCCUGCGCGGAAGAUGUAACGGGGCUAAACCAUGCACCGAAGCUGCGGCAGCGACACUAUGUGUUGUUGGGUAGGGGAGC